Molecule: long non-coding RNA, 663 nt
Organism: Syzygium oleosum
Lineage: Eukaryota; Viridiplantae; Streptophyta; Magnoliopsida; Myrtales; Myrtaceae
Exons: 2
Source: RefSeq, a predicted model, not a curated record
UAAACUUAUCCUCUCAAUUCAGUUUACAGACCCUACUGCAUGAUUUAUUCUUCUAAUACUAACAACAAUAUUCUCGUGGCAGAGACUUAGUUCCAAGAUAAACUACGAUGUACUGGAAAAACUCUUUGAUGAACCUGCGAUCCCGGAGAACCCCAAGAAAAGACGAACAGAAUUGGAUACCAACAAUGAUGACAAGAUGCCUAGCAGCAAAGAGGUUGAAGCCAAGGAUGUCGAAACAAACGACGACAUGGGUUUGGAUGAUGAGCAGUAGGAUGAUGACACUAAAGGAGCGGAUGGUGAUUUAUAUUACGGAAACGAAGAGGAAAUGUAUGGUUACGACGGCGGAAAUUAUGAUUAUGAUGGCUUUUGAUCGUAUCCGAAAACUAACUUUCUUAUGACAUUUAAAAGCCUCGUCUGUUAGAGUGCGAGGGUUGUGAGUCUAGGAAGAUCUCUUUGUACAGUAUCAGUUGGUCGUCACCAAUUUUGAGUUUCCCCCAUUUGGGAAAGUAGACAGUUCUAGUUUGGAGAUUUUGCUCCUUUACUAUGUUUUUCUCAUAAAGGGUAAUAACAAUUCUUCGAAGGCAAGGCCAUCGCUUCCGCGAGAGAGCAUCUUGUACCGCCAAAUUCUUGUGCAAUCAACCCGAUAGUAACUAUUUCUCUCCU